This 429-nucleotide ribosomal RNA is filed under the name Bacteroidota bacterium. Its description in RNAcentral is "Bacteroidetes bacterium partial 16S ribosomal RNA". It matches the Rfam family "Bacterial small subunit ribosomal RNA", at positions 355 to 776 of the family's 1533-position model. Lineage: Bacteria; Pseudomonadati; Bacteroidota. The record is from RNAcentral.
UAGGGAAUCUUCGGCAAUGGGGGGAACCCUGACCGAGCAACGCCGCGUGAGUGAAGAAGGUUUUCGGAUCGUAAAGCUCUGUUGUUAAGGAAGAACGAGUGUGAGAAUGGAAAGUUCAUACUGUGACGGUACUUAACCAGAAAGGGACGGCUAACUACGUGCCAGCAGCCGCGGUAAUACGUAGGUCCCGAGCGUUGUCCGGAUUUAUUGGGCGUAAAGCGAGCGCAGGCGGUUAGAUAAGUCUGAAGUUAAAGGCAGUGGCUCAACCAUUGUAGGCUUUGGAAACUGUUUAACUUGAGUGCAGAAGGGGAGAGUGGAAUUCCAUGUGUAGCGGUGAAAUGCGUAGAUAUAUGGAGGAACACCGGUGGCGAAAGCGGCUCUCUGGUCUGUAACUGACGCUGGGGCUAGAAAGCGUGGGGAGCGAACAGG